UCGAUUGUGGAUGGCCUCCUAUAGUUAAAACAGGAGAGGGAGAAAAGUUCUUUUGACAAAACAGGAGUGGCCUGAUAGUUUUGUUAACUAAGUAUACGUGGAAGGUGACACUGAACAUGGAGACAGUGGAGAUUGUUAUGUGAUAGAGUGGCAGAUGUUGAUAAAGCCCAUGGAUUCCUUAAUGGAGAAAAGGUGGAUGUAGUGGAAGAACUGGAAGUUGGUUUUAAAGGUGAAAAUGGCCUUGAAUGGAUCCAUGGAGAAAGGAGAAACAUCUGAGGCACUAGAUUCAACUCUACUUCCAGUGCACAAGAGUUUAUUAAUGAUG
RNAcentral lists this long non-coding RNA (325 nucleotides) under Solanum tuberosum (potato). RNAcentral's name for it is "long non-coding RNA (STUB_LNC002366)". Lineage: Eukaryota; Viridiplantae; Streptophyta; Magnoliopsida; Solanales; Solanaceae. The record is from RNAcentral.